UAAUAAGUGUUUUAUGGCACCUUUUAAGUCCAUAUCCACCUUGUGUGCAAUGUCAGUCGAUCUUCUUCAUGGAGAUCGACCAAACAUCAACCUUUAUCUUUUAACUCUUUGUCUGAAAAAUAUCAUGAAUAAACAAUUCAAAAUA
This 145-nucleotide unclassified non-coding RNA is filed under the name soil metagenome. RNAcentral describes it as "partial internal transcribed spacer 1". The record is from RNAcentral.